RNAcentral lists this ribosomal RNA (230 nucleotides) under uncultured microorganism. Its description in RNAcentral is "partial 16S ribosomal RNA". It matches the Rfam family "Bacterial small subunit ribosomal RNA", at positions 524 to 753 of the family's 1533-position model. The record is from RNAcentral.
UACGGAGGGUGCGAGCGUUAAUCGGAAUCACUGGGCGUAAAGCGCACGUAGGCGGCGCAUCAAGUCAGACGUGAAAGCCCUCGGCUCAACCGAGGAAUUGCGUUUGAAACUGGUGUGCUGGAGUCUCGGAGAGGUUGGCGGAAUUCCAGGUGUAGGAGUGAAAUCCGUAGAUAUCUGGAGGAACACCGGUGGCGAAGGCAGCUCACUAAACUACAACUGACGCUCAUGCA